RNAcentral lists this ribosomal RNA (739 nucleotides) under Cryptomys nimrodi. RNAcentral describes it as "partial 12S ribosomal RNA". The record is from RNAcentral. Lineage: Eukaryota; Metazoa; Chordata; Mammalia; Rodentia; Bathyergidae.
UUUUUUAUUAGUUGUAUGCAAAUUUACACAUGCGAGCAUCCCCAAGCCAGUGAGAAUGCCCUUAAAAUCAACAUGAUAAGAAGGAGCGGGUAUCAAGUACACAUAAAAGUAGCUCAAUACACCUUGUACAACCACACCCCCACGUGAAACAGCAGUGAUAAAAAUUAAGCUAUAAACGAAAGUUUGACUUAGUUAUGCAAUUACUUAGGGUUGGUAAAUCUCGUGCCAGCCACCGCGGUCAUACGAUUAACCCAAAUUAAUAAACACCGGCGUAAAGAAUGUUUAAGAAUAUAACCAAACUAAGAUUAAAUUUUAUCUAUAUCGUAAAAAAUUCUAGAUAAACUAUAACUCAAUAAACGCAAGUAAUCUUAUAAUAUCCGAAUACAUGACAGCUCAGGCUCAAAGCUGAGCCGUAAACAUAAAUUAUUGAAUGAAACAAAAUAUUUCGCCAGAGGACUACCAGCAACAGCUAAAAACUCAAAGGACUUGGCGGUGCUUCACACCCACCUAGAGGAGCCUGUUCUGUAAUCGAUAAACCCCGAUAAACCUCACCACUAUUUGCUAAUACAGUUUAUAUACCGCCAUCUUCAGCGAACCUUAAUAAAGAAAAAAAGUAAGCACAAUCACAAGCAUAAAGACGUUAGGUCAAGGUGUAGCCAAUAAAGUGGGAAGAAAUGGGCUACAUUUUCUUAACAAAGAACACCCAAACGAAAACUAUUAUGAAAUUUAAUAGUGUAAG